UAAAAAGUUAGUUAAUUAUAAUAACAUAAAUUUGUCAAAUUUAAAUUACUAUUUAAAUAGUACUUUUUAA
RNAcentral lists this transfer RNA (70 nucleotides) under Cistopus taiwanicus. RNAcentral's name for it is "tRNA-Asp". The record is from RNAcentral. Lineage: Eukaryota; Metazoa; Mollusca; Cephalopoda; Octopoda; Octopodidae.